Gallus gallus (chicken) is the source of this 1812-nucleotide long non-coding RNA. RefSeq lists it as uncharacterized. The record is from RefSeq and is a predicted model, not a curated record. Lineage: Eukaryota; Metazoa; Chordata; Aves; Galliformes; Phasianidae. The transcript is spliced from 2 exons.
GGCCCUCCUCCCUGCUGCUCAUCCGGACUGCACACAUUGCUUCAGCAUUCGCAGCCCAACUUACAAAAUCUGAACAAUUCAGAACUUGACUGUUGCCACCAGCUUUUGAAAAAGAAAAUCCGUUUGGGAGUUAGUUAAUUGAACAGCUUCACCAAUGCAAGCAAAACCAGAAGCAUAUAUCAAGGCCACGACUGUGACUAUAAUAUUCUUUCUGAAAAGCAAUACUUCCAGCAUGAAAUGAUAAAUAACAUUCAAUUAUAAAUUUUGGAAGAGGACAUCAAAUAUCCUGUUAGGAUAGUAGUUUGCACUGAAUCACAUCAUCAUCUGAAGAGAAUUUUGUGCCCAGACACUUCAUAAAUCUUUGAAAACUACAAAAUCUUACUCCAAUGAAAGUCAACAUUUUUCACUAAAAAUGUAGUCUAUCAUCACUACGUCACCAAUUUCUAAGGCCUCAUUAACUCUACUGUACAGCAAAGAGAGCAGAUGAGAACACCUCCCUCAAGCUCUACAGGAUCUUCUCAUUUUUCUGACUCAUGCAAUGAAAAGUGCACAUUGCAAAGUGGCAAUGAAACAAAAAGAAGAUAAACUCAGUCCUGGGUACAAAACUUUUAUAAUUACUUCUGGGGAGAUGAAAAACAAACAAACAAACAAACCACAAAAAAAAGUGUCUUUUUCUGUCCCUUUCUUUCCUGUCUCUUUCUUUCAUGUGUCAUCCCAAACUCAGUAUAUUCAGGCUGCUAUCCUCUUUGCCACUUUCCUGCUUUGAGAAGAUCCUACCUCGCAGCCAGACGUUGUCACAUGCAACAGACACACUCAGCAGAAUCAGCAGCCCCACAGAACAAGCUGAGGAUGACAGGUUUCCCUGGACUGAGCCAGCAAUUCCAUUCUCAGAAAAAAAAAAAACAAAACUGAAUACAAAAGGUGGAUUCAGAUUUCAAAUACUGGUGAACGCUCAUUCCUCAGAACAGGAGUAAUCCUAACAACUUCCUAGUCCAAAAAGCACAAGCUGUCCAAGAGCAUAGCAGUUACAAAGAUAAAAUUUCAGGAUUCUGCAAGAAUAUGAUCCUCUAUCACCCAUCUACUACUACCUCUAAGAAAAAAAAAAAAAAAGAAUAAAAAAACUGUCUAAGAAUUACUUCUGCCAUUCUAUUUUUGCAAUUGAAGAACUUUCAGUUUUAGGAAAACCACAGUGCCUUCCUCACAGAGAAAAUGACAUUGCUCAGCUCUGGGCAAACACCAGGUGCCCACUUUGGGCUGGGCCUGGUGAAGGAAGGCCGUGCAGGGAGGGCUGCCUCUGUCACAGCGAUGUUAUGGUGCAUCCCACUGCUGUGGGUGAAGACAACUUUUGAACAGCCACUCUCCAUGCCUGAUGGAUUACAUCUGGCUUCAGAAACCCCAGGGAACAAUGCUUUUUUGCAAAAAGAACAUCCUCUUGAUGGCCAAAAAAAUAUAUAGUCAUCAUUUUUCCAGGCAACGGAGAUUGGGAUUUUAAUUCUUUUACUGUAUCUUUACUUGCUGUCCCUGGGUUUGAAUGAAGCAGAAUUUCUAAAAAGAUAGGGAAGAGUAUUAGAGACAUUCUGUAGAAUUCCCAUUCCACACAAAAUCAAUUGUAACAUAGUAUUUCUUUAACACAUGCCUAGGAAGAUGGUGGGGAAAGAGAUUACUCCACAGCAUCAGCAAAGCCCUGAGGUGUGGCUUCCUUUGUUAUCAGUUCAGCAGUGCUGAUGUGGGCCUGGAGCUUUUGCCAAGUCAUGUAUUUAUAACUGUGAGAAAUUUUUAUGGCAUUAUGUUAAUAAAAUUCAGUAGCUUGCA